GAUUAGUGGCGAACGGGUGAGUAACACGUGAGUAACCUGCCCUUGACUCUGGGAUAAGCCUGGGAAACUGGGUCUAAUACCGGAUAUGACUGCCUGACGCAUGUCAGGUGGUGGAAAGCUUUUGUGGUUUUGGAUGGACUCGCGGCCUAUCAGCUUGUUGGUGGGGUAAUGGCCUACCAAGGCGACGACGGGUAGCCGGCCUGAGAGGGUGACCGGCCACACUGGGACUGAGACACGGCCCAGACUCCUACGGGAGGCAGCAGUGGGGAAUAUUGCACAAUGGGCGCAAGCCUGAUGCAGCGACGCCGCGUGAGGGAUGACGGCCUUCGGGUUGUAAACCUCUUUCAGUAGGGAAGAAGCGAAAGUGACGGUACCUGCAGAAGAAGCGCCGGCUAACUACGUGCCAGCAGCCGCGGUAAUACGUAGGGCGCAAGCGUUAUCCGGAAUUAUUGGGCGUAAAGAGCUCGUAGGCGGUUUGUCGCGUCUGCUGUGAAAGACCGGGGCUCAACUCCGGUUCUGCAGUGGGUACGGGCAGACUAGAGUGAUGUAGGGGAGACUGGAAUUCCUGGUGUAGCGGUGAAAUGCGCAGAUAUCAGGAGGAACACCGAUGGCGAAGGCAGGUCUCUGGGCAUUAACUGACGCUGAGGAGCGAAAGCAUGGGGAGCGAACAGGAUUAGAUACCCUGGUAGUCCAUGCCGUAAACGUUGGGCACUAGGUGUGGGGGACAUUCCACGUUUUCCGCGCCGUAGCUAACGCAUUAAGUGCCCCGCCUGGGGAGUACGGCCGCAAGGCUAAAACUCAAAGGAAUUGACGGGGGCCCGCACAAGCGGCGGAGCAUGCGGAUUAAUUCGAUGCAACGCGAAGAACCUUACCAAGGCUUGACAUGAACCGGUAAUACCUGGAAACAGGUGCCCCGCUUGCGGUCGGUUUACAGGUGGUGCAUGGUUGUCGUCAGCUCGUGUCGUGAGAUGUUGGGUUAAGUCCCGCAACGAGCGCAACCCUCGUUCUAUGUUGCCAGCGCGUUAUGGCGGGGACUCAUAGGAGACUGCCCGGGGUCAACUCGGAGGAAGGUGGGGACGACGUCAAAUCAUCAUGCCCCUUAUGUCUUGGGCUUCACCGCAUGCUACAAUGGCCGGUACAAAGGGUUGCGAUACUGUGAGGUGGAGCUAAUCCCAAAAAGCCGGUCUCAGUUCGGAUUGGGGUCUGCAACUCGACCCCAUGAAGUCGGAGUCGCUAGUAAUCGCAGAUCAGCAACGCUGCGGUGAAUACGUUCCCGGGCCUUGUACACACCGCCCGUCAAGUCACGAAAGUUGG
RNAcentral lists this ribosomal RNA (1314 nucleotides) under Paenarthrobacter nitroguajacolicus. RNAcentral describes it as "Arthrobacter nitroguajacolicus 16S ribosomal RNA". It matches the Rfam family "Bacterial small subunit ribosomal RNA", at positions 90 to 1414 of the family's 1533-position model. Lineage: Bacteria; Bacillati; Actinomycetota; Actinomycetes; Micrococcales; Micrococcaceae. The record is from RNAcentral.